CAACAAUUACAUGCUGUAUGACAAUGAAAAUGCAAGAAAUAUUUAUAGUGACUGAGAAGUUAAAAGAUAUGAAAAUGAAGUGAAGUGAAGGAUAACGGCAUUGAAAAUUAAUGAAUCUUGUCAAUGGUCUGGCUGGUGUUGACAGAAGAUAAAGGAGAGGAACAAUGAUUAUUAAUAAAUUGUAAACAUCAAAAAAUUCCAAAACUAUAUUGUGGUGUUGAAAUCCAGUAAAUUUUCUUGUAAAGCUUGGAGCAUUGCAAAUGUUUGGUGUUAAUGUAUGAGAGUACUUCACAUGUAAACAAUAUUGAUGAAGUUGUCUGCUUAUUUGGGGCCAAAUAAGGAGAGAAAUUUUCUUGGAAAAGAAUCAAAAGCAAAAAAGGAUAGCAUGACAGAAGAAUGCCGAAGGGUUGCUCAGCUAUUAACAUCGCCUUAUAAUCUUUAUUUAUUUCAAUUGUGUUGUAAGAAGUAUUUUUUAAACAGUAAAACU
This is a long non-coding RNA of Macrosteles quadrilineatus (aster leafhopper), 487 nucleotides long. RefSeq lists it as uncharacterized. The record is from RefSeq and is a predicted model, not a curated record. NCBI's taxonomy places the organism in Eukaryota, Metazoa, Arthropoda, Insecta, Hemiptera, Cicadellidae. The transcript has 3 exons.